This is a long non-coding RNA of Anastrepha ludens (Mexican fruit fly), 3184 nucleotides long. RefSeq lists it as uncharacterized. The record is from RefSeq and is a predicted model, not a curated record. The transcript is spliced from 4 exons. NCBI's taxonomy places the organism in Eukaryota, Metazoa, Arthropoda, Insecta, Diptera, Tephritidae.
CUAGCUAACUGAUGGCUUCACAGCUCUAUUCAGGGAUCUGUAAGCUGUUGCAACAACAACAAUUUUUAUUUAAAAAAAAUUAUAAAUGCUGGCUUAUAAAUUGAAUAAGUUGAAACGCUCAACUUUAGUUUGCGUUUGAAAUCGAGGGUCAAUAGACCGCAUAGAAAACAAAUGUGCAUCAUUAGCCGUAAUUUACUUCAUACGAGAGCAAUCAUUGGAAAUGUUUUUUGAUAUUUUACAAGUUAUUUUCGAUUUUAUUACGGGCUUAUUUUCUUUCGGUGGCGGAGACGAUGAUGACGACUCAGAGGAAUCCUAAGACCGACAUAGUUUUAUUUUUACCAUGUAUAUAUAUGUAUUUACAUACAUAUCUACAAAACAAAUUUAAAAUAUAUUUUUUUAAAUUAUUUAAUUAAAAAAAUGUUUUCAAAGGAGAAACUAAGAAAGCUUACAAUCGUCUUCCUAGCGCACUGAGGCAGCGAAGUCAUGCGCACAAGCUAAGAAAAUGGUCGCAAAGACACCGUCCAAUAUUCUUCUCUAAUAUGACUUGGCUUAUUUUACGCUACUGCUGCCUUGUAUUUCCUGAAAGAACUUUGUUUAGACUCUACAUGAAGUAUUAUGAAAGUGAGAGGACAAAAUAGAUCAUUAGGACUUAAUGCAUGUAUAUCUCAUCUCUAUACCUUACUAUGUACAUGUCUUUCUAUGUAUGUUUGUAUGUGUGCAUUCACAAUACAUAUGUAUGUAUUACAACCAUUUAUUUUCACUUAUUCAGUUUGAUGUCAAUUGUAUUUUCGUCGUGCUCAUCUGUGUAAUUAUAGUUAUUAUACUCAAAUAAUUACAUGGUCCAUUUAAUUUGACUAGCAUACAUAAGUGCUUACAUAUACUUAAGUUUAAAAAUAAAAUUCAGUUAUUCACAGUAAUUGGUGAACGCCGAAAAGGAGUAUAUAAAUAAAUAAAAUAUUCUGAAAAUGUUUUUCGACCUCUUCGGUGGACUGUUAGAGUUCAUAAUAAAUUUAUUAUUUCCAAGCUCUGGUGAUGAACCUGACUCAGAGGAAGUGGAGUCUAUGGAUAUUACAACUGAAGCUCAAGCAGAAAUUGUGCCGUGAAUAUCAAAUAUGCAUGUUUGCAUAUAAACGAAUCUAUAUGUAAUAUUAACUUAUUAAAAAAAAAUGUUUUGUUAUAUUUAUUCACUACAACUUGCACUUAAGCACGUAUCGUUUUCUCACAUUGUUGAAUAUGAAUAAUGAAGUUGCCACUUUUGUUCGCUUUAUCGAAGUUAAAAGUGUUAAACUCAUUAUAAUGAAUUUGUUCUGGGAGUGUUGAGUGUUGAAAAAAUAAUUACAAAAUGUAUUAAUAUAGGAGAAGUAGGAAAGUAAUUAACCGGCAUGGUGUUGUGCACUGCAAAGCAAAUUAGAGAUGAACACGAGACUCCGAAGAGAAAGCGUAACACUAAACUUUCGUUAAAAAUAUAAAAUUACUUAUGCAAAAUAUAUCUGUUAAGAUCGUUGAAAUUUGAUUGUUUUUGUGGUUGUUGUAACAACAUAAACAUUCUACAUGCUGCUGAAGUGCCAGUCCUCGGCCGGAUAUAAAUCCGGGUCGUUUCGGUUACGUAGAACCGACUGUCGUGGGAUUUUAUUGUUUUUGUUUUACUAUAAUUGUAUAUAAGAAUGAAACUAUGGUUAAUAUGCUGAAGUAGACAAAAUACCUAUCAAGACUGGGUUGUGUUGAUUCUUGACGUGGAGUAGGACUAGAUAGAAAUUGGCUGCAGUGUUUGCUUUUUCGCGAUAGUUUUGGCAUCAACGAAACUGGAAAGCAGUAAGAUCUUGGGAUGUUGUUGUUGUUGUAACAACAUAAAACACUUCUCAUAUAUUCUGGGGUGAUGCUGCUGAAGUGACAUUCAUUGGCUUGAUGAACAUACAGGGUUUGAUUGAAAAUUAAUGAGCCUUAUUUUUUUAAGCAGUUUUAUUAAACCCUUUGGCUUAUACAACUAAUAUUCUUCAAAAUAGGACCCUUGAGCGUCAAUACACCGUUGGCAGCGGUCCGUCCACUGCAGAAAACAUUUUUUAAUCUCAUCCGCCGGAAUCGCGUUCAAUUCGGCUGUCACAGUUUUUUGGAUCGCCUCGAUGGAAUCGAAACGCCUCCCCUUCAGCUUUCUUUUCAGGCGCGGGAACAAGAAGAAGUCCGGAGGGGACAUGUCUGGGCUGUAGGGAGGGUGGGGAAGCACCGGAACCCCCAACUUUCGUUGGAAUGGAUUUAUAUAAUAAGUGUGACUACCCUAAGGUAGAAUGUUGCAACCAAUCGAGAUAGAAAUUUUUAUGCAAUUUGCAAUAUUUUCCAUUUUUGAAUUAUCAAGUGCUCACCUGAUGGCAUUGUUGUUGUUGUUGUAGCAGCUUAGUAAACUCCGUCAGUGCGGCGUCGUCACCGGUCGUCUUCGUCUAAUUCAUCUAAUGGUAGACUCAGAAAACGUGCUGUUCGACAGGUUGGGCCCAGGGGGAGACGGGUGUUAGGUGAGUUGGUUUGUUAGGGUAUGUGAAUAGAUGGUUAGUGUCGUGCGGUGUGCCUUCACAUGCUGGAUAUAUAUUGGGUAUGUCGGGGUCGAUUCUGGUUAAGUAUGUAGGAGUUUAACCUGCCACAAUUUCCAGAACCUAAUUGGGUCAAAGUGACGCAGAUCUCGCAAGGCAGUUGAAGCUCUUCGUCUGCAGUUUGAGCUAACAAGCAAAGGCUUACCAGAAAUAUUUGUAGACCAUUGCAUCCUUUCCGGCUAAAUGAUUUACCACUGUGCUAAGUAUAUUGCUUUGAUUGGUCUGAAGCUUUCUGAUAGGGUAGUACAUUUUUUAGUGUUGUCACGUUGCCUUUCAGACUCGUAGCAGAAGCUUUUCUUCAACGCUAUUAUGCAUGGCCGUAGAAGUUUUUGUGGGUUUGUGGGUUAUUAAAUUCAUACAACACUGAUGAAAGCAGCUUUAAAAUCGUCAAAGAAAUGGUGUAAAUUUAUGCUGUUUGUCUUAUCACGGGAUUUUGUUGGAAUUUUAUAUCAUCAUCAUAUAAAUCAUUUCUCAUAUCAAUUUGACAAAAGACUCUAAACACCGACUCGUGGGCGUACUUCUAAUCAUAUUUUGUUUAGGAGUUCUACGUGCUCAGGAAUUUAAACAGCCCGGCAGGUAAUCCAUGCGCGAUAUUAAAAAUUACA